Molecule: ribosomal RNA, 253 nt
Filed under: uncultured bacterium
Lineage: Bacteria
Description: partial 16S ribosomal RNA
Rfam family: Bacterial small subunit ribosomal RNA
Source: RNAcentral
UACGAAGGGUGCAAGCGUUACUCGGAAUUACUGGGCGUAAAGCGUGCGUAGGUGGUUUGUUAAGUCUGAUGUGAAAGCCCUGGGCUCAACCUGGGAAUUGCAUUGGAUACUGGCAGGCUAGAGUGCGGUAGAGGAUGGCGGAAUUCCCGGUGUAGCAGUGAAAUGCGUAGAGAUCGGGAGGAACACCGGUGGCGAAGGCGGGUCUCUGGGCAUCUCCUGACGCUGAGGCGCGAAAGCGUGGGGAGCAAACGGG